RNAcentral lists this non-coding RNA (24 nucleotides) under Tribolium castaneum (red flour beetle). The record is from RNAcentral. Lineage: Eukaryota; Metazoa; Arthropoda; Insecta; Coleoptera; Tenebrionidae. RNAcentral also lists the same sequence under 2 other names.
UCACAACCUCCUUGAGUGAGCGAC